AGUCGAGCGGCAGCGACUUAACUGAACCUUCGGGGAACGUUAAGGGCGGCGAGCGGCGGACGGGUGAGUAAUGCCUGGGAAUAUGCCCUGAUGUGGGGGAUAACUAUUGGAAACGAUAGCCAAUACCGCAUAAUCUCUUUGGAGCAAAGAGGGGGACCUUCGGGCCUCUCGCGUCAGGAUUAGCCCAGGUGGGAUUAGCUUGUUGGUGAGGUAAUGGCUCACCAAGGCAACGAUCCCUAGCUGGUCUGAGAGGAUGAUCAGCCACACUGGAACUGAGACACGGUCCAGACUCCUACGGGAGGCAGCAGUGGGGAAUAUUGCACAAUGGGGGAAACCCUGAUGCAGCCAUGCCGCGUGUGUGAAGAA
RNAcentral lists this ribosomal RNA (366 nucleotides) under uncultured Photobacterium sp. RNAcentral describes it as "bacterial SSU rRNA". It matches the Rfam family "Bacterial small subunit ribosomal RNA", at positions 60 to 412 of the family's 1533-position model. Lineage: Bacteria; Pseudomonadati; Pseudomonadota; Gammaproteobacteria; Vibrionales; Vibrionaceae. The record is from RNAcentral.